Molecule: transfer RNA, 85 nt
Filed under: Enterobacter hormaechei
Lineage: Bacteria; Pseudomonadati; Pseudomonadota; Gammaproteobacteria; Enterobacterales; Enterobacteriaceae
Description: tRNA-Tyr
Rfam family: tRNA
About the family: Transfer RNA (tRNA) molecules are approximately 80 nucleotides in length. Their secondary structure includes four short double-helical elements and three loops (D, anti-codon, and T loops).
Source: RNAcentral
GGUGGGGUUCCCGAGUGGCCAAAGGGAGCAGACUGUAAAUCUGCCGUCAUCGACUUCGAAGGUGAGAAUCCUUCCCCCACCACCA